RNAcentral lists this ribosomal RNA (253 nucleotides) under uncultured bacterium. Its description in RNAcentral is "partial 16S ribosomal RNA". It matches the Rfam family "Bacterial small subunit ribosomal RNA", at positions 524 to 776 of the family's 1533-position model. The record is from RNAcentral.
UACGUAGGGGGCUAGCGUUGUCCGGAAUCAUUGGGCGUAAAGCGCGUGUAGGCGGUCCGGUAAGUCCGCUGUGAAAGUCGGGGGCUCAACCCUCGGAUGCCGGUGGAUACUGUCGGGCUUGAGUACGGAAGAGGCGAGUGGAAUUCCUGGUGUAGCGGUGAAAUGCGUAGAUAUCAGGAGGAACACCGGUGGUGUAAACGGCUCUCUGGACCGUAACUGACGCUGAGGCACGAAAGCGUGGGUAGCAAACAGG